Molecule: ribosomal RNA, 497 nt
Filed under: uncultured bacterium
Lineage: Bacteria
Description: partial 16S ribosomal RNA
Rfam family: Bacterial small subunit ribosomal RNA
Source: RNAcentral
GAUGAACGCUGGCGGCGUGCCUAAUACAUGCCAGUCGAGCGAACAGACGAGGAGCUUGCUCCUCUGACGUUAGCGGCGGACGGGUGAGUAACACGUGGAUAACCUACCUAUAAGACUGGGAUAACUUCGGGAAACCGGAGCUAAUACCGGAUAAUAUAUUGAACCGCAUGGUUCAAUAGUGAAAGACGGUUUUGCUGUCACUUAUAGAUGGAUCCGCGUCGCAUUAGCUAGUUGGUAGGGUAACGGCUUACAAAGGCAACGAUGCGUAGCCGACCUGAGAGGGUGAUCGGCCACACUGGAACUGAGACACGGUCCAGACUCCUACGGGAGGCAGCAGUAGGGAAUCUUCGGCAAUGGGCGAAAGCCUGACGGAGCAACGCCGCGUGAGUGAUGAAGGUCUUCGGAUCGUAAAACUCUGUUAUUAGGGAAGAAAAAAUGUGUAAGAAACUAAGCACGUCUUGACGGUACCUAAUCAGAAAGCCACGGCUAACUACGUG